Molecule: non-coding RNA, 802 nt
Organism: Ictidomys tridecemlineatus (thirteen-lined ground squirrel)
Lineage: Eukaryota; Metazoa; Chordata; Mammalia; Rodentia; Sciuridae
Source: RefSeq, a predicted model, not a curated record
AGGGGCCAAGAACUUUGUAUUUUAUACUUACUGCAACAUCCUCGGUGCCCAAGGAGGUCCUCAGGAAAUAUUUGUCCGAUGAUUUGAUCAUUUUCUAGCUAAUGGAAGCACAACUGUGGGGCCAGCUGUGAUGCAGGGCCCCGUUCCACCCAGCAGAUGGCAGCAGAGAACAAGGCACCUGCCAGCCGGAGCCCAGGUGAAGGUCCAGGUUUGACCUUCCAGGUUGGCAUCUUCUACCACCUCCUCUUCCUAAGUGCGGGCCAGGCCCGAGGGCCGGAUAAUACUAUGCAGCUGUCAUUGAGAAGGCUCAAAAGCAGCGCGUGCCCAGCACAGUUCAAGCACUUUCAUUGAUCGGUCACAACAGCCUUAUGACAAGUCUCAUUGUGCAGACAGGAAGCUGUGUUGCAAUAACAGCCCCAGGUUACACAGCCAGCGGGGUGCCAGGCCUGGAAGGGGACCUGGACUCACUUCCUUAACCACCACGAGAUAAGGGCUGCGUUCGUCCACAUUCAACAGGAGAACGACCUGGGGCUCAGAGAUGUGAGGUCACUGGGAAUGUGGCACAGAAUUCAGAAGAGUGUAAAAUAAGAAGACUCUGCGGGUCUCUCCUCCCCAGCUGGCCAAAGGCCCUGGCUCAGUCCCAAGAAGCAGCCUCGGCAGCCAGGGAUGUGGCUGUCCAGAGACGGUGUGGACUGGAGAUACCCGGGAAUUCUUCCUCCUCCACUCAGUCGGUGCAUUCUGUGCAUAAUAUCUGGACCUUGCUGUUCUACCUUAACACGACUUAGAGACUCUUCCCCAUCAA